RNAcentral lists this ribosomal RNA (536 nucleotides) under uncultured bacterium. RNAcentral's name for it is "bacterial SSU rRNA". It matches the Rfam family "Bacterial small subunit ribosomal RNA", at positions 777 to 1315 of the family's 1533-position model. The record is from RNAcentral.
AAUAGAUACCCUGGUAGUCCACGCCGUAAACGUUGGGCGCUAGGUGUGGGGGUCCUUCCACGAUCUCCGUGCCGCAGCUAACGCAUUAAGCGCCCCGCCUGGGGAGUACGGCCGCAAGGCUAAAACUCAAAGGAAUUGACGGGGGCCCGCACAAGCGGCGGAGCAUGCGGAUUAAUUCGAUGCAACGCGAAGAACCUUACCAAGGCUUGACAUGCACGGGUAAGUUCCAGAGAUGGUUCCCCCUUUUUGGUCCGUGCACAGGUGGUGCAUGGUUGUCGUCAGCUCGUGUCGUGAGAUGUUGGGUUAAGUCCCGCAACGAGCGCAACCCUUGUCUCAUGUUGCCAGCAAUUCGGUUGGGGACUCAUGAGAGACUGCCGGGGUCAACUCGGAGGAAGGUGGGGAUGACGUCAAAUCAUCAUGCCCCUUAUGUCUUGGGCUUCACGCAUGCUACAAUGGCCGGUACAAGGGCUGCGAAACCGUGAGGUGGAGCGAAUCCCAAAAGCCGGUCUCAGUUCGGAUUGGGGUCUGCAACUCGA